UAGGGAAUCUUCGGCAAUGGACGAAAGUCUGACCGAGCAACGCCGCGUGAGUGAAGAAGGUUUUCGGAUCGUAAAACUCUGUUGUUAGAGAAGAACAAGGACGUUAGUAACUGAACGUCCCCUGACGGUAUCUAACCAGAAAGCCACGGCUAACUACGUGCCAGCAGCCGCGGUAAUACGUAGGUGGCAAGCGUUGUCCGGAUUUAUUGGGCGUAAAGCGAGCGCAGGCGGUUUCUUAAGUCUGAUGUGAAAGCCCCCGGCUCAACCGGGGAGGGUCAUUGGAAACUGGGAGACUUGAGUGCAGAAGAGGAGAGUGGAAUUCCAUGUGUAGCGGUGAAAUGCGUAGAUAUAUGGAGGAACACCAGUGGCGAAGGCGGCUCUCUGGUCUGUAACUGACGCUGAGGCUUGAAAGCGUGGGGAGCAAACAGG
This 429-nucleotide ribosomal RNA is filed under the name Gemmatimonadota bacterium. Its description in RNAcentral is "Gemmatimonadetes bacterium partial 16S ribosomal RNA". It matches the Rfam family "Bacterial small subunit ribosomal RNA", at positions 355 to 776 of the family's 1533-position model. The record is from RNAcentral. Lineage: Bacteria; Pseudomonadati; Gemmatimonadota.